GAUGAACGCUGGCGGCGUGCCUAAUACAUGCAAGUCGAGCGAACGGACGAGAAGCUUGCUACUCUGAUGUUAGCGGCGGACGGGUGAGUAACACGUGGAUAACCUACCUAUAAGACUGGGAUAACUUAGGGAAACCGUAGCUAAUACCGGACAAUAUUUUGAACCGCAUGGUUCAAAAGUGAAAGACGGUCUUGCUGUCACUUAUAGAUGGAUCCGCGCUGCAUUAGCUAGUUGGUAAGGUAACGGCUUACCAAGGCAACGAUGCAUAGCCGACCUGGGAGGGGGAACGGCCACACUGGGACUGAGACACGGUCCUGAGUCCGACGGGAGGCAGCAGUAGGGAAUCUUGCGCGAUGGGCGGAAGCCUGACGGAUCAACGCCGCGUGAGUGAUGAAGGGCUUCGGAUCGGAAAACGCUGUUAGUAGGGAAGAACAUAUGUGUAAGUAACUGUGCACAUCGUGACGGUACCUAAUCAGAAAGCCACGGCUAACUACGUG
This 497-nucleotide ribosomal RNA is filed under the name uncultured bacterium. RNAcentral's name for it is "partial 16S ribosomal RNA". It matches the Rfam family "Bacterial small subunit ribosomal RNA", at positions 28 to 507 of the family's 1533-position model. The record is from RNAcentral.